CUUAAUUCUACUCUUGCCUUACCUCGUAUCUCAAAACAAGAGCUGAACUCGUUUAUGCCAAGAGACGGUCAGCUCUGCAAGGAGCUAAUGCUCUUCUGGUGCAAGUCAUUCUGCGUGCAAGCAGAGAAGCCAUUUCCUCUGAAGCACGGCUUAUCAUUGCUCAGAUACUCCUGGAAGGCAGUCUCCUGUUAAUGCCAGUUCUUCAACAAAAUGCUGACUUUAAAAUAAAUAUGCAAGGAUAUCAGAUGGGCUGGGGGACUGUGCCACUGUGUGAGGGAUCUGCAAUGCGAUGUGAAUUGGGAAUUCCAGUCCUGAGCAGCCAGGCAGGGAGAACAAGACUUCUCUACCUUAUCUACAAUUUCUGGUAGUGUUGCAUGUAUGUCUGGCUGUGUCAGUGUCCCCUCUAUGUGUAUGCAAGUGUAAAUACUUGUCCAGCACCUGGUUGUCUCCUACAAAAUGUACAUGGCUCCACUACAGCAACCAGGAAGGAACAAUCCCCAGGUCCUGGUGACCACAGGAUUCAGCAGUUCCUGUAAGAACCUUCAGUUUCUUGUUAAAACAUCCACUCUAUGGAAG
This is a non-coding RNA of Anas platyrhynchos (mallard), 576 nucleotides long. Lineage: Eukaryota; Metazoa; Chordata; Aves; Anseriformes; Anatidae. The record is from RefSeq and is a predicted model, not a curated record.